This 497-nucleotide ribosomal RNA is filed under the name uncultured bacterium. RNAcentral's name for it is "partial 16S ribosomal RNA". It matches the Rfam family "Bacterial small subunit ribosomal RNA", at positions 28 to 507 of the family's 1533-position model. The record is from RNAcentral.
GAUGAACGCUGGCGGCGUGCCUAAUACAUGCAAGUCGAGCGAACAGACGAGGAGCUUGCUCCUCUGACGUCAGCGGCGGACGGGUGAGUAACACGUGGAUAACCUACCUAUAAGACUGGGAUAACUUCGGGAAACCGGAGCUAAUACCGGAUAAUAUAUUGAACCGCAUGGUUCAAUAGUGAAAGACGGUUUUGCUGUCACUUAUAGAUGGAUCCGCGCCGCAUUAGCUAGUUGGUAAGGUAACGGCUUACCAAGGCAACGAUGCGUAGCCGACCUGAGAGGGUGAUCGGCCACACUGGAACUGAGACACGGUCCAGACUCCUACGGGAGGCAGCAGUAGGGAAUCUUCCGCAAUGGGCGAAAGCCUGACGGAGCAACGCCGCGUGAGUGAUGAAGGUCUUCGGAUCGUAAAACUCUGUUAUUAGGGAAGAACAAAUGUGUAAGUAGCUAUGCACGUCUUGACGGCACCUAAUCAGAAAGCCACGGCUAACUACGUG